RNAcentral lists this transfer-messenger RNA (299 nucleotides) under Candidatus Pelagibacteraceae bacterium. It matches the Rfam family "Alphaproteobacteria transfer-messenger RNA". From Rfam's summary of the family: Bacterial tmRNA, also known as 10Sa RNA or SsrA, is named for its dual tRNA and mRNA-like properties. Its role is to liberate the mRNA from a stalled ribosome. Lineage: Bacteria; Pseudomonadati; Pseudomonadota; Alphaproteobacteria; Candidatus Pelagibacterales; Candidatus Pelagibacteraceae. The record is from RNAcentral.
AAUAUUGUAAUUUAUUUGAUUAGGUUUAUAUUAAGGUUGUUGAUUUAUCAACUAUGACGAUAAACGAAUCUCGUAAUAAACAUUGCGGACGUGGGGGCAGUACCCACCACCUCCACCAAUUAAAACUUGAGGGGGUGAAUUAGGCUCGACGAGUGUCUAAAAGUUUUUCUUUCGUCCGAGAUAGUUCCGACGUAACGGACUAAUUAUAAAUGCAAAUAAUAAAUUUGCACUUGCUGCUUAAUUAACUUGUUAAUUAAGUGAACGGGGUAUGGGGCACCUGGCAACAGAACGCCCCUACC